CAGCGUUCUAACCGCUAGACCACCGUGGCAGUUUUCUUAAUAUUAUAUGAGUGUUGUCUGGCUGUUCAGUAUCAUACCGAGGCUCUGCUAGGUCACCCAUAAACCGAAGAAUGGUAACCCAAAGAGCUUUAGCAGCCUGCAAAAAUGUAACAGAAUAUAGUAUUUGUAAUACUAGACCGCUCUUGGAUCAGUCAGAAAGUAAGAAGAUGACAGAAUGCCAAAAGAAUUACAAAGGAAAUGGAGAACCCAAAAAAUUUGCUUGAUUGCAACUUAUAAGCCAUAAAUACAGUGUGGACUAUGGACGCUGCAUACUACUGUCCACCAUACAAGACUUACCAACUGGUCAGCUGGAAGUGGAAGAUCUAGAACUUCCUUGAAUGAAGAAGAGCCUGUAGUCGAAGAUAGCCUUGUCUCAUCUUCUGGUACUGGAGACGAGGAACACGGCCACGCCAGUAUUUCUGCAGUGUCAAUGCAGCUGACCGUAGUCUCAAGAAUCUACAUAUAAA
This is a non-coding RNA of Zootermopsis nevadensis, 506 nucleotides long. The record is from RefSeq and is a predicted model, not a curated record. Lineage: Eukaryota; Metazoa; Arthropoda; Insecta; Blattodea; Termopsidae.